GACGAACGCUGGCGGCGUGCCUAAUACAUGCAAGUAGAACGCUGAAGGAGGAGCUUGCUUCUCUGGAUGAGUUGCGAACGGGUGAGUAACGCGUAGGUAACCUGCCUGGUAGCGGGGGAUAACUAUUGGAAACGAUAGCUAAUACCGCAUAAGAUUGACUAUUGCAUGAUAGUCAGUUAAAAGGUGCAAUUGCAUCACUACCAGAUGGACCUGCGUUGUAUUAGCUAGUUAGUGGGGUAACGGCUCACCAAGGCGACGAUACAUAGCCGACCUGAGAGGGGGAUCGGCCACACUGGGACUGAGACACGGCCCAGACUCCUACGGGAGGCAGCAGUAGGGAAUCUUCGGCAAUGGACGGAAGUCUGACCGAGCAACGCCGCGUGAGUGAAGAAGGUUUUCGGAUCGUAAAGCUCUGUUGUAAGAGAAGAACGAGUGUGAGAGUGGAAAGUUCACACUGUGACGGUAUCUUACCAGAAAGGGACGGCUAACUACGUG
This 495-nucleotide ribosomal RNA is filed under the name uncultured bacterium. RNAcentral describes it as "partial 16S ribosomal RNA". It matches the Rfam family "Bacterial small subunit ribosomal RNA", at positions 28 to 507 of the family's 1533-position model. The record is from RNAcentral.